GCGGGCGUGGCGGAAUGGCAGACGCGCGGGAUUUAGGUUCCCGUGGCCGAAAGGCCGUGCAGGUUCAAGUCCUGUCGCCCGCA
This 83-nucleotide transfer RNA is filed under the name Phycisphaerales bacterium. It matches the Rfam family "tRNA". From Rfam's summary of the family: Transfer RNA (tRNA) molecules are approximately 80 nucleotides in length. Their secondary structure includes four short double-helical elements and three loops (D, anti-codon, and T loops). The record is from Rfam by way of RNAcentral. Lineage: Bacteria; Pseudomonadati; Planctomycetota; Phycisphaerae; Phycisphaerales.